CCUACGAGUGGCAGCAGUAGGGAAUUUUCGGCAAUGGGGGGAACCCUGACCGAGCACCGCCGCGUGAACGAAGAAGUUAUACGUAAUGUAAAGUUCUUUUAACAGGGAAGAAAGAGAAAUUUGACGGUACCUGAAGAAUAAGCUCCGGCAAACCACGUGCCAGCAGCCGCGGUAAUACGUAGGGAGCGAGCGUUAUCUGGAAUUAUUGGGCGUAAAGGGUUCGUAGGUGUCAUAGUAAGUCUUUUGUAAAAAUGCUGGGCUCAACCCAGUAGGGCAAAAGAUACUGCAAAGCUAGAGUAUGACAGAGGCAAGUGGAACGACAUGUGUAGCGGUAAAAUGCAUAGAUAUAUGUAAGAACACCAGUGGCGAAGGCGGCAUGCUGGGUCGAUACUGACAUUGAGGCACGAAAGCGUGGGGAGCGAACAGGAUUAGAUACCCGUGUAGUC
Molecule: ribosomal RNA, 446 nt
Filed under: uncultured bacterium
Lineage: Bacteria
Description: partial 16S ribosomal RNA
Rfam family: Bacterial small subunit ribosomal RNA
Source: RNAcentral